This 2258-nucleotide long non-coding RNA is filed under the name Lupinus angustifolius (narrow-leaved blue lupine). RNAcentral's name for it is "long non-coding RNA (LANG_LNC003293)". The record is from RNAcentral. Lineage: Eukaryota; Viridiplantae; Streptophyta; Magnoliopsida; Fabales; Fabaceae.
UGCAUAAGAAAGAAGCCAGAAAAGAUAGAGGAAAACAUUGGUGGGACAAGUACAAAUCCUUCAAGGGAGAUACAAGAAGUGAGGAGUUUUAUUCAUUACCUUUCAAUCUAAACAAGUACUUCCCCUCUGUUUAAUUGUGAAAAGGAGCUAAAUUAUAAUGCAGUUUUAUAGUCACCUAAUAUUUAGAUUGAAACUUAUUACACCCUAUAGGUUGUAGCUAUAUGAGUACUCCACCUUGUUAUGGAAUUUUGUGAAACUUUGUUUUUAACUGUUGUUUCUGUAUAAUCUGAUCGAGAAAGUAUAUCCACAACAGUAAGGAGCAUGUUUAAUCUAUCUAUCAUAUAAAUGUUUAUACCAUCUUUAUUCACUCUUCAAGUUUUGGUCUCACUAUGUACCCUGAGUUUUUCUACUCUAUUCUUAAAUUAUGUUCUUAAAUCCCUAUAAUCAGUGGUUUUUACAUCAUUCCAAGGAGAGCACUUGUAAUUCUUAUCAACCAAGUCCUCAGUGCUGUUAUUCAGACAAAAUCCAUGUAUUCGAGAACAUAAAUAAUUGGCCAUAUGUCCAUAUGCAUAAACACAAGGUUUAGAGAUUUUGACAGUUGAGAAUUAGAAAAGGGUGGUUAGGACAACUUCCCAUCCUACCUGAAGUCUAACCUUCAGGUAUUAACGACACAACUUCUCAACUGAUUUCCUAAGUAAUAAUCUUACCAUUGCAAUAAGUCUCACCCUCUUGAAAAAGAAUGUCGAAUGUGAUUACAAUUACUAUUAACAGAACAUCAAUAAGUAUAAAUUCACCAUAUCAAUAUGAUCAUUGGUUCACAUCAUUUCAAGCAAAGAUAGAAUUGCAUUAAAUAACUCAAAUCAUCAACAACUACUCCCACUCCUAAAUUGCAGACACAUUUGAUGGUUGAAUUAGUUAUAACUAUUUUUCUGAAAGCCAAGAAUUUAUAAUAUGCCAAUCAAUUGGCAUCAUCACAAAGCGUACAUGUUGAAGGAUGAAAAAACUACUGAUGCAAAAGCAAUUUGGGUUCACAUGCUUCUCUGCUUAUUUUAACAUGGCUAACUAUUAAGUCCAAAUUAUUGCCAUAAAAACAAAAUUUAACAGAAAACUAGCAUCCCAAUGUUCACUUUAUUCUGCACUUUUAGAAGUUUUUAUUUUAUGAGCCUUCUAGAGUGCUAUUGUUUACGAGCUUCUUCUCUUGUAGCUGCUUUGACAUAUAUUUCGUAACAGCAUCCUGAAAUAUCAUACAAACAUACAAGUGUUAAACUGGUACAGAUUAAGAAGAAGAAAAACAAUAGAAUUUGAAGAUACCUCAAGGAUCAGGAAACCCUAGAUCCCUAUUUUAUUUGUUGCUGAACUGUGAAUAGAUGUUUGUAAUUUAGGUAUUUAGUUUGGGUAAUCCACGUACAUUUUCUUCCCUCUAAUACUUAAUUUACCUUUAUCAUGUAGGAAAAUUCGGAGCAGUUUUCGCUUCCAUCCCACCUCCCAUUGUUGCUGCUCUGUACUGCUUGUUCUUCGCUUAUGUUGGUAUGUUUAAGCUUAGCAUAAUAGCAUCUACUCUUCGACAUAUUCAGACUUGAUUUUUUAUACAUAAAAGAAAACACCAUGUAAUGUAAUGCUCCGCUUUCGUAUAUCAUUUGUAGGUGCCGGAGGUCUUAGUUUUCUUCAGUUCUGCAACCUUAACAGUUUUAGAACAAAAUUCAUACUAGGCUUCUCUCUUUUCCUGGGUUUGUCCGUGCCACAGUACUUCAACGAGUACACGGCGAUUAAUGGUUUUGGACCAGUUCAUACAGGCGCAAGAUGGGUAUGGAUAAUAUGUACAUAGUAUUAUGCAUAACUAGAGACUGAUUCUUACUUUGUUGAGUUUACCUGUGCUGACAUUUUUAUGUCUCUGGCAGUUCAACGAUAUAGUCAACGUUCCGUUCCAAUCAAAACCAUUUGUCGCGGGCGUGGUGGCAUAUUUCCUGGACAACACACUGCAUAAGAAAGAAGCCAGAAAAGAUAGAGGAAAACAUUGGUGGGACAAGUACAAAUCCUUCAAGGGAGAUACAAGAAGUGAGGAGUUUUAUUCAUUACCUUUCAAUCUAAACAAGUACUUCCCCUCUGUUUAAUUGUGAAAAGGAGCUAAAUUAUAAUGCAGUUUUAUAGUCACCUAAUAUUUAGAUUGAAACUUAUUACACCCUAUAGGUUGUAGCUAUAUGAGUACUCCACCUUGUUAUGGAAUUUUGUGAAACUUUGUUUUUAACUGUUGUUUCUGU